Molecule: ribosomal RNA, 414 nt
Filed under: uncultured eukaryote
Lineage: Eukaryota
Description: SSU rRNA
Rfam family: Eukaryotic small subunit ribosomal RNA
Source: RNAcentral
CCGUGGUAAUCCCAGAGCCAAUACAUGCAAAAAGCUCCGACCGUAUGGGAAGAGCGCUUUUAUUAGACCAAAACCAAUGGGGUCGCAAGAUCCCUUUGUAUGGUGACUCUGGAUAACUUUGUGCUGAUCGCAUGGCCUAGAGCCGGCGACGUAUCUUUCAAGUGUCUGCCCUAUCAACUUUCGAUGGUAAGCGAUUUGCCUACCAUGGUUGUAACGGGUAACGGGGAAUCAGGGUUCGAUUCCGGAGAGGGAGCAUGAGAAACGGCUACCACAUCUACGGAAGGCAGCAGGCGCGCAAAUUACCCACUCCUAGAACGGGGAGGUAGUGACGAAAAAUAACAAUACCGGACUCAAUGAGGCUCGGUAAUUGAAAUGAGUACAGUUUAAAACCCUUAACGAGGAUCUAUUGGAGGG